Molecule: ribosomal RNA, 468 nt
Filed under: uncultured bacterium
Lineage: Bacteria
Description: partial 16S ribosomal RNA
Rfam family: Bacterial small subunit ribosomal RNA
Source: RNAcentral
GACGAACGCUGGCGGCGUGCUUAACACAUGCAAGUCGAACGGAAAGGCCCUGCUUUGGUGGGGUGCUCGAGUGGCGAACGGGUGAGUAACACGUGAGUAACCUGCCCUUGACUUUGGGAUAACUUCAGGAAACUGGGGCUAAUACCGGAUAGGAGCUCCUGCUGCAUGGUGGGGGUUGGAAAGUUUCGGCGGUUGGGGAUGGACUCGCGGCUUAUCAGCUUGUUGGUGGGGUAGUGGCUUACCAAGGCUUUGACGGGUAGCCGGCCUGAGAGGGUGACCGGCCACAUUGGGACUGAGCUACGGCACAGAGUCCUACGGGAGGCAGCAGUGGGGAAUAUUGCACAAUGGGCGGAAGCCUGAUGCAGCAACGCCGCGUGCGGGAUGACGGCCUUCGGGUUGUAAACCGCUUUCGCCUGUGACGAAGCGUGAGUGACGGUAAUGGGUAAAGAAGCACCGGCUAACUACGUG